This is a non-coding RNA of Hydra vulgaris (swiftwater hydra), 962 nucleotides long. Lineage: Eukaryota; Metazoa; Cnidaria; Hydrozoa; Anthoathecata; Hydridae. The record is from RefSeq and is a predicted model, not a curated record.
UUUGUUGUAAAAUGCUAACAUGACUGUCAAUAUUAAAAAAUAUCAUUAAAAUGAUGAGGUUCCAAUUUCAACUUUAAAUAAUCACCUUCAUGAAAUCCAUUAUUUCAAUAUUAUCAAAACUAUAAAUCUAUGGAACAAUCUUUCUUGUCUAAUCCGAAAUCUGAGAAAAAUGCUAAUAUAUAUAAUAUAGCAUUGCCACUAUUAGGUAUUUUACUGUCUAUUAGUUUUUCUCUGAUUUAGGCUUAGACCAGUAAAGUUGUUAAAUUGUUAAAUUUAUGUAUUUUAAAUUUAUUUACGUAGUUUAGUUAAGACAAUGUAAAAUUUAAUUAGUGUAAAUUUGUUUAGACUUUCAAUAUUAUGUGUUGCUUCUCUUAAAUGAGAUAAAUACCCAAGGAUGCAAAAAACUUAAUAUAAAGUAGUGUGAAGAAGAAGUAGUAACUGAAAUUAAAAGCAUAAUAAAAUUUGAUAAGUUUGACUCAGCACUUGACAAUGUUUCAUCUAGUAACUCUGUAGUAUCUCUGCAGUUGUAAAUUGCUAAAUACUGAUUUGACAGAUUUUUCUUUUUUUUUUAAUUUUCUUUACAAUAUAUAAUUUUUACUACUUAAUUAGGAAUUGUCAGAUUUCCAUUAUUUCUUUCUAUUAGAAACCAAGAUUUCAAAAUAUUAGUGGUAAGAACUGUCAAAAACUUGUGAUAGCUAUGAUGAAGAGAUUUGUGACAAAUUCGCUCAUGGCCAAAUCUAAUAUGGCAGCUGGAAAAGGCAAAGAUCUUUUUAGCCUAACUAAGCUAUACAAUUUAAUAAAAGUUUGUGCAUCGACUUCUCACGAAUCAUACACUGAGUCGAUUGACGAUGCAAUAAUUGCUGAUUCGUGAAAACGGGCAACUUUUGCUUGUCUUAAAGUGCCUUAAAUCCAUCGUUAUAAUAUUACUUUGUUUGUAAAUUGUUUUGAAAAAUAAAUUUAAA